CCUGGCGCGAUUGGAUGAGCCCAUGUCGGAUUAGCUAGUUGGCGGGGUAAAGGGCCCACCAAGGCGACGAUCCGUAGCUGGUCUGAGAGGAUGAUCAGCCACACUGGAACUGAGACACGGUCCAGACUCCUACGGGAGGCAGCAGUAGGGAAUAUUGGACAAUGGGCGCAAGCCUGAUCCAGCCAUGCCGCGUGAGUGAAGAAGGCCCUCGGGUUGUAAAGCUCUUUUGUCCGGAAAGAAAAGCGCCGGGUUAAUACCCUGGUGUCCUGACGGUACCGGAAGAAUAAGCACCGGCUAACUUCGUG
RNAcentral lists this ribosomal RNA (305 nucleotides) under uncultured bacterium. RNAcentral's name for it is "bacterial SSU rRNA". It matches the Rfam family "Bacterial small subunit ribosomal RNA", at positions 211 to 507 of the family's 1533-position model. The record is from RNAcentral.